Molecule: ribosomal RNA, 298 nt
Filed under: Escherichia coli O121:H7 str. 2009C-3299
Lineage: Bacteria; Pseudomonadati; Pseudomonadota; Gammaproteobacteria; Enterobacterales; Enterobacteriaceae
Description: partial 23S ribosomal RNA
Rfam family: Bacterial large subunit ribosomal RNA
Source: RNAcentral
GGCGCUGGAGAACUGAGGGGGGCUGCUCCUAGUACGAGAGGACCGGAGUGGACGCAUCACUGGUGUUCGGGUUGUCAUGCCAAUGGCACUGCCCGGUAGCUAAAUGCGGAAGAGAUAAGUGCUGAAAGCAUCUAAGCACGAAACUUGCCCCGAGAUGAGUUCUCCCUGACUCCUUGAGAGUCCUGAAGGAACGUUGAAGACGACGACGUUGAUAGGCCGGGGGUGUAAGCGCAGCGAUGCGUUGAGCUAACCGGUACUAAUGAACCGUGAGGCUUAACCUUACAACGCCGAAGCUGUU